GAUUGGUUACGAGGUAGUCUGUGACAUCACAAACACCACCGAUUUCAAACCGUGGGUUUUUGAUUUACUGCAGUUUUAAACAUAAAAUACUCAGCAAUGGUGCUGACUUAUGAAUUUGCAUAUGGUUUGACUUAAAGCAUAUUAAAAACACUACAUAGAUAUAUAAACAACAUUAAAAACUUGAUUUUCACCACAGGAGGGCUUUAAGAUCUCUGGAGUUGGACUUGUAUCCUUGAGAUUGUCCAUGUUUUUCCACAAUUUUUUUCUUUACACUUCUUUCCUUUCUUCACUUCAUCCUCAGUGAGAGACACAACACAAAGGUUUAGUCAACUUUUCUCCACUUUAACUGGCUGCAAGUGUGAUAUAGCCACAUGUGUCUAAAUACAAAUUACAGGAGCAAUUAUUUCUUGAAAUUUUGUCAAGAUGCCAAUAAUUUUUUCCAGUCCAUUUUUUAGUUCUGUGAAAUUCUCAAGUUUGAGAAUUGGUGCUAGAACCACUGUCCCUCUGCCCUCAUCGGCUGAGGUGCCCGAGACCUUCUCGACCCCCUCCUCUCCCUUUGACAGGAUUUCCAUUAAAGUGUUCCGUUAUCACUCCGCUAAAGAUCCACUAAUUCUGUAAAUCCGCUCCGUGUUUUCCCGCUCGCUGCCCAGCAUCACUGAGAAGGGUCUGGCUGCAGACAUGCAAUCUCAGACAUGCAUGCGCAGUCCAACACAUGCAUUCUCAGACACGCAUGCGCACUCAGAUACAUGCAGUCUCAGCCGCACUUGCGCAGUCCAACACGUGUUCUCAAUCACGCAUGCGCAGUCCGACACACAUUCUCAGCAGCUCGUGGACACGCAGAAACAGACACAUGCGUUUAAUGCACAUACAGGCUACUUGUAAGUAUAUUUAUGUACAAUUUUUGUACAAUUUUUUUGUGUAAAUUAAAAGAGUUGUUCAUUAUUUGGUAAAUGUUAUCAAAAACGAUCCUGAUAUUUAUCUGGUAUAUCUCACAUGCACAGGUGUUGGCGGUAUGCACGUGUUUAGAGGAGUCGACGACCAUUAAAUAAUUGAUAUGCAUCAAUCAAUAGUUCUAGCUGGUGUAAAUCAGCUGAUAUCAAAAUGCACAUCUUGUUGCACAUUGUAUCAUUGCCCCUUGUGCCCUUCACUGAAGCCAAUGACUCAGAAGAAAGUUCAGGCUCACUGGACAGUCCAUAUUAAAAAUGCAAUCUUUUUCCAAGGUAAGAUGGGUGUGAUAAGUUUUUUUUUGUAAGCACUUCAAAAAGGGUACUAAUAAGCAAAAGAGAGACUGUUCAAGACAUAUUUCAAACAUUCUUGCACACACUAUCAAACUCUCUCUUGACCGUUAGUGUAAUGUCUCUCACACUCUAUCAAAGAUUUUCAUGCAUGCUAUCAAACUCUCAUUCAUUACUAUACUAUUUCUCAUACACUAUCAAAGCUUUCACCCAAACUCAUUCACAAACAUACUAUCAUCUCUCUCACUAUCAAGCUCAUUGUCUGUGUAUCAUCCUUUUCUUUUCUUUUUUUUAACAUUCAAGAUGUUUAUUUAUCUUCUGCCCCUGAACAAAAAACAAGACAAAAAAAAAUUAAGGUAGCGUGUAUGAGAGUACAAUUUGAAAAAAUUUCUUGAACAUCCUCUCAAUAAUUUCUAGACAAAAGAGUAUGCAAAUGCCAUUUGGCCUGCAGAACAGAGGCCCAUUAUCAUUGCCCUACUUGCAGUAAAACUGUUCUUAGAAGAAACGCAAUGAAGGCUCACCUGCAUCGGCUCCUUGUAUAUCGACACCUACACCUUCACUGGCUCUGUGCUGCUCCUCACCUGCGCCAGGACCUGCAUCGGCUCCUUGUAUAUUGUUAUUGAUAGCCACGCCCUGUCUCAUUAGAAUAAUGCAACUUUGAGACUGAAAGUACAUUUCCUGUCUGCAAGAGUAACAGAUUAAAAAAAAGACACAACUACAGAAAUUAAUUUGAAAAUGUUUAUUGAAAUAUAUAAGAGACAAAAUAGUAACAAAUAGACAGAUUGGUAUUUGUUUGUACAAGAAUGGUAUAUUUGUGCGAAAAUAAUAUUUGUUUGUAAGAGAAUGGUAUAUUUGUACGAGAUUAAUAUUUGUUUGUACGAGAAUGAUAUAUUUGUGCGAAAAUAAUAUUUGUUUGUACGAGAAUGGUAUAUUUGUACGAGAUUAAUAUUUGUUUGUACGAGAAUGGUAUUUUUGUACGAGAUUGAUAUUUAUGUAAACAGAGAUGAUCAGGUGAUCAGGUAAACAAAAGAUGUGAUCACAUCAAAACAAUGUAGAAGAGAAAAGAGUCCAAUAGCAUACAUAUAUUAACCAUUAAAGAAUGAACAGACAA
Molecule: long non-coding RNA, 2346 nt
Organism: Megalobrama amblycephala (Wuchang bream)
Lineage: Eukaryota; Metazoa; Chordata; Actinopteri; Cypriniformes; Xenocyprididae
Exons: 2
Source: RefSeq, a predicted model, not a curated record